Molecule: ribosomal RNA, 472 nt
Filed under: Pronothobranchius kiyawensis
Lineage: Eukaryota; Metazoa; Chordata; Actinopteri; Cyprinodontiformes; Nothobranchiidae
Description: partial 16S rRNA
Rfam family: Bacterial large subunit ribosomal RNA
Source: RNAcentral
UUUAACGGCCGCGGUAUUCUGACCGUGCAAAGGUAGCGCAAUCACUUGUCUUUUAAAUAAAGACCUGUAUGAAUGGCAUAACGAGGGCUUAACUGUCUCCUUUUUCCCAUCAAUGAAAUUGAUCAUCUCGUGCAGAAGCGAGAAUGCAACCAUAAGACGAGAAGACCCUAUGGAUCUUUAGCCGCAAGAGUAGAACACCCUCAAACUACUUAAACAACAAGUAGGACCCGUUGUAACCUGCUCAAGUGGCUUUGGUUGGGGCGACCACGGAGUAUAAAUUAACCUCCACAAGGAAUAAGGAAACCUCUUUAAUCCAAGGGCGACAGCCCUAGGAAAUAUAAUUUCUAACCCCCCGAUCCGGCAAGGCCGAUUAAUGGACUGAGUUACCCUAGGGAUAACAGCGCAAUCCUCUUUUAGAGCCCAUAUCGACAAGGGGGUUUACCACCUCGAUGUUGGAUCAGGACAUCCUAAU